This 530-nucleotide ribosomal RNA is filed under the name uncultured archaeon. RNAcentral's name for it is "bacterial SSU rRNA". It matches the Rfam family "Archaeal small subunit ribosomal RNA", at positions 322 to 856 of the family's 1478-position model. The record is from RNAcentral.
CCUACGGGGCGCAGCAGGCGCGAAAACUUUGCAAUGCGGGAAACCGUGACAAGGGAACUCUGAGUGCCCGUAAAAUCGGGCUGUCCAUCAGUUUAAACAACUGGUGAAGAAAGGGCCGGGCAAGACCGGUGCCAGCCGCCGCGGUAAUACCGGCGGCUCGAGUGGUGGCCACUAUUACUGGGCUUAAAGCGUUCGUAGCUGGUCUGUUAAGUCCCUGGGGAAAUCUUCCGGCUUAACCGGAAGGCGUCUCAGAGAUACUGGCAGACUAGGGACCGGAAGAGGUGAGAGGUACUCCAGGGGUAGGAGUGAAAUCCUGUAAUCCUUGGGGGACCACCUGUGGCGAAGGCGUCUCACCAGAACGGCUCCGACAGUGAGGGACGAAAGCUGGGGGAGCAAACCGGAUUAGAUACCCGGGUAGUCCCAGCUGUAAACGAUGCGCGUUAGGUGUAUCAGUGACCACGAGUUACUGAGGUGCCGAAGAGAGAUCGUGAAACGCGCCGCCUGGGAAGUACGGUCGCAAGGCUGAAACU